AAAGAUUAAGCCAUGCAUGUCUAAGUAUAAGCUUUUAUACGGCUAAACUGCGAAUGGCUCAUUAAAACAGUUAUAGUUUAUUUGAUGGUCUUUACUACAUGGAUAACCGUGGUAAUUCUAUGGCUAAUACAUGCGCACAUGCCUCUUCCCCUGGAAGGGCAGUGUUUAUUAGAUACAGAACCAACCCACCUUCCGGUGGUCCUCAGGUGAUUCAUAGUAACCGAACGGAUCGCGUUGACUUCGGUCUGCGACGGAUCAUUCAAGUUUCUGACCUAUCAGCUUUCGACGGUACUGUAUUGGACUACCGUGGCAGUGACGGGUAACGGGGAAUUAGGGUUCGAUUCCGGAGAGGGAGCCUGAGAAACGGCUACCACAUCUAAGGAAGGCAGCAGGCGCGCAAAUUACCCAAUCCUGAUUCAGGGAGGUAGUGACAAGAAAUAACAACACUGGAAAUUUCAUUUCUAGUGAUUGGAAUGAUAGGAAUCC
RNAcentral lists this ribosomal RNA (486 nucleotides) under Toxoplasma gondii. RNAcentral's name for it is "SSU rRNA". It matches the Rfam family "Eukaryotic small subunit ribosomal RNA", at positions 39 to 526 of the family's 1831-position model. The record is from RNAcentral. Lineage: Eukaryota; Apicomplexa; Conoidasida; Eucoccidiorida; Sarcocystidae.